RNAcentral lists this ribosomal RNA (497 nucleotides) under uncultured bacterium. RNAcentral's name for it is "partial 16S ribosomal RNA". It matches the Rfam family "Bacterial small subunit ribosomal RNA", at positions 28 to 507 of the family's 1533-position model. The record is from RNAcentral.
GAUGAACGCUGGCGGCGUGCCUAAUACAUGCAAGUCGAGCGAACAGAUGAGGAGCUUGCUCCUCUGACGUUAGCGGCGGACGGGUGAGUAACACGUGGAUAACCUACCUAUAAGACUGGGAUAACUUCGGGAAACCGGAGCUAAUACCGGAUAAUAUAUUGAACCGCAUGGUUCAAUAGUGAAAGACGGUUUUGCUGUCACUUAUAGAUGGAUCCGCGCCGCAUUAGCUAGUUGGUAAGGUAACGGCUUACCAAGGCAACGAUGCGUAGCCGACCUGAGAGGGUGAUCGGCCACACUGGAACUGAGACACGGUCCAGACUCCUACGGGAGGCAGCAGUAGGGAAUCUUCCGCAACGGGCGAAAGCCUGACGGAGCAGCGCCGCGUGAGUGAUGAAGGUCUUCGGAUCGUAAAACUCUGUUAUUAGGGAAGAACAAAUGUGUAAGUAACUAUGCACGUCUUGACGGUACCUAAUCAGAAAGCCACGGCUAACUACGUG